RNAcentral lists this ribosomal RNA (734 nucleotides) under Eugubinus sp. Its description in RNAcentral is "SSU rRNA". It matches the Rfam family "Eukaryotic small subunit ribosomal RNA", at positions 250 to 896 of the family's 1831-position model. The record is from RNAcentral. Lineage: Eukaryota; Metazoa; Arthropoda; Insecta; Hemiptera; Reduviidae.
AUCUAGAUAACACACAAGAUCGUACAGUCUUUGUACUGACGACAUCUCUUUCAAACGCCUGACUUAUCAGCUGUCGAUGGUAGACUCUGUGUCUACCAUGGCCCUCACGGGUAACGGGGAAUCAGGGUUCGAUUCCGGAGAGGGAGCCUGAGAAACGGCUACCACAUCCAAGGAAGGCAGCAGGCACGCAAAUUACCCACUCCCGGCACGGGGAGGUAGUGACAAAAAAUAACGAUACGGGACUCUAUUGAGGCCCCGUAAUCGGAAUGAGUACACUUUAAAUCCUUUAACAAGGAUCCAUUGGAGGGCAAGUCUGGUGCCAGCAGCCGCGGUAAUUCCAGCUCCAAUAGCGUAUAUUAAAGUUGUUGCGGUUAAAAAGCUCGUAGUUGGUUCUGCGUGCCGCGCUGUCGGUUCGCCGCCUGUCGGUGUAACUGGCAUGUCGCGGCAUGUCCUGUCGGUGGUAAACGAGAUCCCCGGUACUUCGUUAUUGCUUAAUUGCUUUAGUGUUGUGCCGUGUUGUGAUAGCGUUUGCCGAUUUCUCCUACUCCGGUGCUCUUAAACGAGUGUCGAGGUAGGCCGACACAUUCACUUUGAACAAAUUAGAGUGCUUAAAGCAGGCUGAAAUAUCUGCCUGAAUAGUGGUGCAUGGAAUGAUAAAAUAGGACCUCGGUUCUAUUUUGUUGGUUUUAGGAAUAUGAGGUAAUGAUCAAUGUGGACUGGCGGGGGCAUUCGUA